AAAUAACUAUAAAGUCAGGCUGGAAAAUUAUAUUUCACAGCCGGGCCUUAAGGCAGCGGAUAUGCCCGCGGGACUUCA
RNAcentral lists this non-coding RNA (78 nucleotides) under Desulfoscipio gibsoniae. RNAcentral's name for it is "Desulfotomaculum gibsoniae NiCo sequence". It matches the Rfam family "NiCo (Nickel/Cobalt) riboswitch aptamer". Lineage: Bacteria; Bacillati; Bacillota; Clostridia; Eubacteriales; Desulfallaceae. The record is from RNAcentral. RNAcentral also lists the same sequence under 1 other name.